CGCCAGCAGUAUUGCGCCGUAGUUGUAAUUGCGCAGUACCACCACUAAAACUCACUUGGUUACCGCCAACCCACACGCCCUCGGCUG
RNAcentral lists this transfer RNA (87 nucleotides) under Shewanella putrefaciens. RNAcentral describes it as "tRNA-Leu". Lineage: Bacteria; Pseudomonadati; Pseudomonadota; Gammaproteobacteria; Alteromonadales; Shewanellaceae. The record is from RNAcentral.